RNAcentral lists this ribosomal RNA (466 nucleotides) under uncultured bacterium. RNAcentral describes it as "partial 16S ribosomal RNA". It matches the Rfam family "Bacterial small subunit ribosomal RNA", at positions 28 to 507 of the family's 1533-position model. The record is from RNAcentral.
GAUGAACGCUGGCGGCGUGCUUAACACAUGCAAGUCGAACGGAAAGGCUCCUGCUUGCAGGGGUACUCGAGUGGCGAACGGGUGAGUAACACGUGGGCGAUCUGCCCUGCACUUCGGGAUAAGCCUGGGAAACUGGGUCUAAUACCGGAUAGGACGAUGGUUUGGAUGCCAUUGUGGAAAGUUUUUUCGGUGUGGGAUGAGCUCGCGGCCUAUCAGCUUGUUGGUGGGGUAAUGGCCUACCAAGGCGUCGACGGGUAGCCGGCCUGAGAGGGUGUACGGCCACAUUGGGACUGAGAUACGGCCCAGACUCCUACGGGAGGCAGCAGUGGGGAAUAUUGCACAAUGGGCGCAAGCCUGAUGCAGCGACGCCGCGUGGGGGAUGACGGCCUUCGGGUUGUAAACUCCUUUCGCUAGGGACGAAGCGCAAGUGACGGUACCUGGAGAAGAAGCACCGGCUAACUACGUG